GUGCUUACUUCGGCAGCACAUACGCUAAAACUGGAAAGAUACAGAGAAGGAUAGCAUACUCCUGAGCAAGAAUGACACGCAAAUUUGUGAAGCAUUCCAUAAUUUU
Molecule: small nuclear RNA, 106 nt
Organism: Ochotona princeps (American pika)
Lineage: Eukaryota; Metazoa; Chordata; Mammalia; Lagomorpha; Ochotonidae
Source: Ensembl